CUCUUUGAUGUAAUUAUCAUGUUGAAAUAAAAUUUUUAAUAAUAAUAAUAAUAAUAAUAAUAAUAGCUCUGGUACAAAUAUUUCAACCGAAUAUUUUUUAAUUAUUUCCUUGCGAUAAUAAUGUGGGAUCUUUUUCAAUUAACACCUAACACGCUAUAUAUUACAUACAACCUGCCGAAAGAUGACGUGAGCAACACUGUGGAGCAACUCACACGUCAGGUUAUAUUUUAAUAUUCCCACGGAAACAUGCAAAUAAUCACGUGGAUUUGUUCAAAUACCAUAAAGUUUCGUUUACGAGAUUCUUGUAUUUCGGAUUUGUGCGGACGUUUGGUGUAUCGAGCCAUGCACUUCAAAGCCUGUUAAAACUGCGUAUUUUAAUUUUAUACGAGCGCAUCUAAUGCAUAGUUAAUGUAGCUUUUAACACAGCAGGGUUAACAUUGAAAUUAUUUUUUGACGCGGUUUGAAUUCACAUUUGCAUUGCAUUUGCCUAGUUUUAAGUACAUUGAUUAUAAGACUACAGUCAAGAAACAAUGCAUUUGAUUUAACGUGUAUGACGUGCCUAAUGCUAGAAAACAGCAAUUUACCCCGUCUCUGCAUGGGCAAGUGUUAUGUUAUGUUAUGUUAUUAUGCAUGUGUUAUGUUAUGUUAUGUGUUAUGUCUUGUGUUAUUGUUAUGUUUAUAUAUAUAUGUUAUUG
Molecule: non-coding RNA, 695 nt
Organism: Paramuricea clavata
Lineage: Eukaryota; Metazoa; Cnidaria; Anthozoa; Malacalcyonacea; Plexauridae
Source: the annotation of a GenBank genome assembly